CAAUAGCGUAUAUUUAAGUUGCUGCAGUUAAAAAGCUCGUAGUUGGAUUUCGGGUGGGAAUGGCCGGUCCGCCGUUUCGGUGUGCACUUGCUACGCCCACCUUGCUGCCGGGGACGUGCUCUUGAGUUCACGCUCGGGACACGGAGUCGGCGAGGUUACUUUGAGUAAAUUAGAGUGUUCAAAGCAGGCCUACGCUCUGAAUACAUUAGCAUGGAAUAACACGAUAGGACUCUGGCCUAUCUUGUUGGUCUGUAGGACCGGAGUAAUGAUUAAGAGGGACAGUCGGGGGCAUUCGUAUUUCAUCGUCAGAGGUGAAAUUCUUGGAUUUAUGAAAGACGAACUACUGCGAAAGCAUUUGCCAAGGAUGUUUUCAUUAA
Molecule: ribosomal RNA, 377 nt
Filed under: uncultured eukaryote
Lineage: Eukaryota
Description: partial 18S ribosomal RNA
Rfam family: Eukaryotic small subunit ribosomal RNA
Source: RNAcentral